This 1085-nucleotide ribosomal RNA is filed under the name Cylindrocladiella camelliae. RNAcentral describes it as "partial 18S ribosomal RNA". It matches the Rfam family "Eukaryotic small subunit ribosomal RNA", at positions 39 to 1116 of the family's 1831-position model. Lineage: Eukaryota; Fungi; Ascomycota; Sordariomycetes; Hypocreales; Nectriaceae. The record is from RNAcentral.
CNANNNUNANCCAUNCANNNNNAGUAUAGCAUUAUACAGCGAAACUGCGAAUGGCUCAUUAUAUAAGUUAUCGUUUAUUUGAUAGUACCUUACUACUUGGAUAACCGUGGUAAUUCUAGAGCUAAUACAUGCUAAAAAUCCCGACUUCGGAAGGGAUGUAUUUAUUAGAUUAAAAACCAAUGCCCUUCGGGGCUCCUUGGUGAUUCAUGAUAACUUCUCGAAUCGCAUGGCCUUGUGCCGGCGAUGGUUCAUUCAAAUUUCUUCCCUAUCAACUUUCGAUGUUUGGGUAUUGGCCAAACAUGGUUGCAACGGGUAACGGAGGGUUAGGGCUCGACCCCGGAGAAGGAGCCUGAGAAACGGCUACUACAUCCAAGGAAGGCAGCAGGCGCGCAAAUUACCCAAUCCCGACACGGGGAGGUAGUGACAAUAAAUACUGAUACAGGGCUCUUUAGGGUCUUGUAAUUGGAAUGAGUACAAUUUAAAUCUCUUAACGAGGAACAAUUGGAGGGCAAGUCUGGUGCCAGCAGCCGCGGUAAUUCCAGCUCCAAUAGCGUAUAUUAAAGUUGUUGUGGUUAAAAAGCUCGUAGUUGAACCUUGGGCCUGGCUGGCCGGUCCGCCUCACCGCGUGUACUGGUCCGGCCGGGCCUUUCCCUCUGUGGAACCUCAUGCCCUUCACUGGGUGUGGCGGGGAAACAGGACUUUUACUUUGAAAAAAUUAGAGUGCUCCAGGCAGGCCUAUGCUCGAAUACAUUAGCAUGGAAUAAUAGAAUAGGACGUGUGGUUCUAUUUUGUUGGUUUCUAGGACCGCCGUAAUGAUUAAUAGGGACAGUCGGGGGCAUCAGUAUUCAAUUGUCAGAGGUGAAAUUCUUGGAUUUAUUGAAGACUAACUACUGCGAAAGCAUUUGCCAAGGAUGUUUUCAUUAAUCAGGAACGAAAGUUAGGGGAUCGAAGACGAUCAGAUACCGUCGUAGUCUUAACCAUAAACUAUGCCGACUAGGGAUCGGACGGUGUUAUUUUUUGACCCGUUCGGCACCUUACGAGAAAUCAAAGUGCUNGNCUCNGGGNNNNNNGNNNNANNUNAANUA